This is a long non-coding RNA of Magnolia sinica, 482 nucleotides long. RefSeq lists it as uncharacterized. Lineage: Eukaryota; Viridiplantae; Streptophyta; Magnoliopsida; Magnoliales; Magnoliaceae. The record is from RefSeq and is a predicted model, not a curated record. The transcript has 3 exons.
CUGCCGAUAGCAAGAUUUGCAUGCGCCAUAAAAAUUAUUGAAGUUUUCGGGGAAGAUGAAAAAGAAGUAAAACCCAGAAACGGUGCCGAAGGCGGCCAUUCCCCAUACGAUACAUUUCAUUGCAACAUUCAUUAUAGUUGCAACACGAUAUGCGAAAACAAUGUUGGUGCAGAAGCGACGGCCCAGAUAGGGAUCUUCAAUUUUUCUCUCCUGUCUGAGUUUUCAGGUGCUCUAUCGUAGAGAUGGAGGAACAGAAAUAAAAGCAUGAGUAGGACAUACACCGAAACGACGAAUGCAAAUGUCCAAGGAUCAUCUAACGAUCGAACGGCUGAGAUGGCUGUAUUGAUAGGUAGAAAACAGAUGGCUAAUAUGGACAUGACGGAGAAGGCACCUGAAUAGGGUUUGGGUGGGGGUUCUUUGGUCGCCGGGGGAAACUAUUUUACGGUGUCCGACAUUAUGACGGCUGAAAUGUAUGCAGGAGG